This 412-nucleotide ribosomal RNA is filed under the name uncultured Sphingobacteriales bacterium. Its description in RNAcentral is "bacterial SSU rRNA". It matches the Rfam family "Bacterial small subunit ribosomal RNA", at positions 969 to 1382 of the family's 1533-position model. Lineage: Bacteria; Pseudomonadati; Bacteroidota; Sphingobacteriia; Sphingobacteriales. The record is from RNAcentral.
CCUUACCUGGGCUCGAACGUAAGAUGACUGUAGGUGAAAGCUUACAUCUCUUCGGAGCAUUUUACGAGGUGCUGCAUGGUUGUCGUCAGCUCGUGCCGUGAGGUGUCGGGUUAAGUCCCAUAACGAGCGCAACCCUACCUUUAGUUGCCAUCAGGUUAAGCUGGGGACUCUAAAGGAACUGCCUACGCAAGUAGUGAGGAAGGCGGGGAUGACGUCAAAUCAGCACGGCCCUUACGUCCAGGGCUACACACGUGCUACAAUGGCCGAUACAGAGGGCAGCUACCUGGUGACAGGAUGCAAAUCUCCAAAGUCGGUCUCAGUUCGGAUCGGAGUCUGCAACCCGACUUCAUGAAGCUGGAAUCGCUAGUAAUCGCAGAUCAGCCAAGCUGCGGUGAAUACGUUCCCGGGCCUU